CGUAGGCGGUCUUGUAGGUCAGAUGUGAAAGCUCCCGGCUUAACCGGGAAAGUGCAUUUGAAACCAUGAGACUUGAGUAUGGGAGAGGGAAGUGGAAUUCCUGGUGUAGAGGUGAAAUUCGUAGAUAUCAGGAGGAACACCGGUGGCGAAGGCGACUUCCUGGACCAAUACUGACGCUGAGGCGCGAAGGCGUGGGGAGCAAACA
RNAcentral lists this ribosomal RNA (205 nucleotides) under uncultured bacterium. RNAcentral's name for it is "partial 16S ribosomal RNA". It matches the Rfam family "Bacterial small subunit ribosomal RNA", at positions 570 to 774 of the family's 1533-position model. The record is from RNAcentral.